RNAcentral lists this long non-coding RNA (5551 nucleotides) under Homo sapiens (human). Its description in RNAcentral is "PREDICTED lncRNA (TCONS_00025443)". Lineage: Eukaryota; Metazoa; Chordata; Mammalia; Primates; Hominidae. The record is from RNAcentral.
AAAAUAAAGCAGGCAGAGGAACGUGGAAGGACUAGACUGCCUGAGUCUUCUGACCUUCAUCUUUCCCCUGUGUUGGAUGCCUCCUGCCCUCAAACAUCAGACUCCAGGUUCUUCAGCUUUUGGACUCUUGGACCUACCCCCCGAGUGGUUUGCCAGGGGCUCUCAGGCCUUCGGCUACAGACUGAGGGCUGCAUUAUCAGCUUUCCUACUUUUGAGGUUUUGGGACUUUACUGGCUUUCUUGCUCCUCAACUUGCAGAUGGCCUGUUGUGGGACCUCACCUUGUGAUCAUGUACAUGAGGGAAAUACACACCCCUCCCAGGGAUGAUGGAAGGUUAAGGUCCUAACACCUCCUGCACAUCUGAGCAGCUGCACAUUGAACCAGAUAGUCCUGGAAUGUGGGAAAACAGAGGCAGACUCAAGAGUCUGGAACAUUAUUUUAGGAUCACACAAAAAAGAUACAUAAUUUUCAUAGAAUGAUACUGAAAGCAUCUCAAAAAUAAAAUCACGAGUAUCUGCAGAUCACUAUGAGACUGGACUGGAACAUUACCUUCAGGUGUGUUGCUUCGCCUUUGGAGAAUGCCAUCUGCCAGAUAUGGGAUCAACCUCUUAAGUCUAACAUAGCAAAGAAUAUCCCCCAUACCAUUUUACUGAAGAAAAACAACAAACAGCAGUUCCUUCCGCCACACUGGGUCUUAGCACAUGCAGAGCUGUGGAGUCCUGUCUGUGCACAGAGACAGGCAUUGACAGGUGGAGUCAGCUUCUCCACCACUGACAUCUUUCCAAGUCAGUGCUGUGCUAUGUCUGCAAAUGAGAAAGGGGCAGCCUGGAUGAUGCUAUAAUUGGCAGUACCAACUCCAUGGAAAUAUUCAGAGGCUUCAGCUGUCAUUUUAAAACUGUCCUUCAGGUGGUGCCAUGUCAAAGGGAAGGGACCUGCACGACUGCCCAAGGUUCCAGAUACCUUAAGAGUUAAGCAGGGAUUGGAUGCUGGGGUUCCCGUGUUCAUUUGCCCCUUUAUUCAACUAGUGCUUACUAAGUGCUUAAUGCAUCCCAAAUUAUGGAAGGACCUGGGAACAUAUGUAAGACACUAUUCAUGCUUUCAAGUUGCUUGUAGUUUAGUCAAGGAGCCAGCUUAGCAUCUAAAACCAUGCAACCCCAAUUUCUAACCACCAGUCAACUCUCCAGUAAGCCUUCUUCAUGGUAAUGGCCUUUGGGAUGGUGGGGCCAUAACGUAGGGUUACUUGGGGAAAGCCAGCACCUUGCACACAUCUAUCCUGCCCUGUCCCUGAAAUCCCCCAGAUCCAUCCACACAUCACAAAUCUGCUGCUCCAUAAAGAAGAGCCUGACAUGGGCUUGUGGAGGAAGCAAUUGAUCAGAAAGAUGCUCUUGAUCUAAUUUUAUCUGUUUUUCUGCCAUUGCCUCUUUCCAAAUUCUUGCCCAUGUGGUUUUCUCUUGGUAAUCCAUGUGGCCCUGGUCCGGGGCCUCCAUAUCUCUUGUGACUUAAGUUUAGCUCACUCUCCCAAUUUUCAGAGUUUCCUGUCUUUUUCAGCUUGUGUUGAGAUAACAGCAACUUGAGUAUCUCCAGACGUUAAUACUUCCCAAUGGGUACCUGUCUUUGGGCUUUAUCUCUACUGUCUCUACUCUACAUAAUUUUAAUUGGGUCUAAUUUAGAAAUAUUUUCCUCUAUAUUUUUACUUUUUAUUUUUUAUGGCCUCUUGCUUUUUAAAAUUUAUGGUUAUGGCCUGUUUAAGAACUUCUCUACUUUUUACAUAUUUUCUCACAUUUUCACCUCUUUUACAAUUUUGCCUCUAUUUCAACUGGUAUUUAUUUUGGCGAAUGAUAGGAAUCAGGGUGGUAGAGUGCCUAUAACUUUUUUUCUUCUGCACAGAUUGGCAAUUAACUCAGGAUCAUUUCUGGAAUGAGCUAUCCUUUCUUCAAUGAUCUAAAAUGCCGUCUUUUUCAUUUUCUUAUUUCUUUUAUACAUACGGGUCUUCCAGUUCCGUUUCAUAGAUUACGGCCCUGUGGCUACGGCAAAGCAUAGUAACUUUAUCAUACAUUUUCACAUCUGUUAAGGCUAUUUUCCCCUCUUUGUGUUUUAGUUAGCACAUUUAUUUUAGUUAGUCAAGUUUUCCCCCAGAAGUAUGUUGGGAUUUUGAAUAGGAUUGCACUGAAUUUAUAGAUUGGUUGUAGGCAGGGUUAAUACCUUUGUAAUAUUGGGUUUUUCUUUCUGUAAAUGAUUUAGAUAUUUUAAUAUGACUACAUCACCCCCAGCCAUAUUAAUUCCUUUUACGGCCUUAUGUCCUUCCUAGCUCUAGUCAGUCCUUUACAUUGUGUUAUGAAUUUGUUCACUUGUUUAUUGUCUGUGUCUCCACCUAGAGUGAACACAAAAUUUCCAGAUUCUAGAUCAAUGUGUAGAACAUAGUAGGUGCUCGGGAAUUAUCGUUUUAUUGAUUGAAUGAAAUAACCUUGACUUCCUAAGGCCUAUAGCCCUCAGUUUGAGAAAUUCCUUUUUUUUUUUUUUUAACUUUCUUAUUUGCUGUUUGGUUCUUAUUCCAUUGACUGCUCACCCCACUGCCUCAUUACCCUUAGCAAGCUGAGAAAACUGGGUUAUCAAUUCACAUGUGUGCUUGCAGCCUUGUUUCACUUGGCUAUAACCCCUGUUGGCAUUCGUCAUCCAUCAUUUCCCUCCUGCCUUGGGUGUCCCAAAGCCGCACCUGCUGGUUUCCUCCACCUCGCCGCGGUGUCUUUUCAGCCUCCCUGAAGGCUGUUCUGCUUCUAUCCCGACCUCAAGCGAUGCAUCCUGGGGAGAGGUUCCUCCUUGGCUCUGUCCUUGGUAUCUCUCCCUCAGAAUUGCAUCAUUUCAAUUUCCACCAGAUACUGAUGACUCACAUUUUCUUUUUUGGGCUAAAUCUCAUGUUUGUUUGUUUGUUUUUUCCAGACACAUUGAUAUGACUACAUGCUGGACAUUUUCUUGCGGAAAUCCAAAAGAAAUCCCCAUUUUCUUGCAGAAAUCUAAAAUAAUCUCCCCUAUGUGCAAGUCAGACUGAGCACCACUCCCAAGACCAUGACCUCCCCUGCAGCCCUGCUCCUUCCCACUCACCUCUCCUCUUGAGAAAGCCACCUCCCACCACCCAGUCUGCAGUGCCAGAAAACUGGAAACCAGCCCCUAAGCUGCUUUCACCUUCGGCCCAUUUCUCACUAGCCAGCCUCUCCCACGGCCUCCCCAGUUUCUUCAAAUACACCCCCUCCACUAUUCACCAUACUGCCACCGUGAUUUAUUUACAACUUUUUGUCCGGAUUACCUCAGUAGCCUUCUAAUUGUCCCCUUUGCAUCUAAAGUAGCCCCUCUCAUCCCCCAAAUCUUACGUCACUCUUCUACAUAAUUCUGGCUUUCCAUGACCCAUAAACCACAUUUCUCAAGUGUGCUCUAUGCUGGCUUGAAUAUGUUAAUAAUCUUAAUUCUACUUUUAGUGCAAUUUUCUUAGAGCUGGCAUCACUUUCAUCAUGACGUGAGAACUUACUAGAGAUAGGCAAUGAUGACUCACAGUCAAGCCACAUGUCAUAUGCUGCAGACAUCUGGACUGCUGCUUAUUUGCAAAUCCUUUUCUUCAUAUUUUUCUCAUUUGUAGCACUGGAUCAAUUCCAAUUAAGAGUUUAAUAAUGAAUUAACUAAUGAUUUAAACAGGUGGAUAAGACUAACACUGAACCAAUGAUUUUAAGUAAAUCUAAAUACAUAAAUCCCCCCAAAUUAUUAAUCUAUGUUGUUUACUAAGAAGUGUAUUAAAAUGAUAUUGAAAAAGUUUGCUUUGGGAAAGAGCUAGAAGUUAGAAGGUCUAGGUUCAAAUCCCGCCUCUACUCCAUCCUUGACUAAGAUGUUGGACCCAUCACCUCAACUUUCCUUGGGUCUUUUUGCCCAGACAUGACCCGAUGACACAGAGCUUACCUGGACCUCCACAAUAGUAAAUAGAACAGGGCCAGCAAACCAAAAUUUGUUGAGUCCUUUAGAAUUAAGUAGCUUAGAUAAAUUUUCAUCAAAAUCUUUAUAUAGUAGGGAAUAGAAAAAAGUCAAUUCUGUUUUAUUUGAGGAUGUAUGAAUAUGUUACCAUUUUUCAGACUCUGAUUUACCUUCCAAUUAUUGUUUAUUGGGGUCAUUGUAAAUUAGUUAUCAUUUUUUGAAUACACAUUCACUGCUGACAAAGUGGUGAAGCCAGAAGUUAUGUUUGACCAGGGAAGAUUAUGACCCUCAAAGGAGAAAAAUUCACAGGGGGUAGUUGAUUAUUGGUGGAAUGGAGUGAGAGUGAAUUCCUUAAAAGUUUAAACGAAAGCAGAACUAUAUUCAUAUCAUGGAGGGAACUUAGUUUCUAAUAUGAUGAACUAUUGCCCCAAGUCAUGACAAUACCUUGCUCUCUGGAAGAGAAUGAGUGAGUUUUUCAUCCGCCAAGAUACACACUCUAUAUUUCCAACCAUCACAUCUGCCUUGCAGGCUGACUGAACCCAGAGCAAAUCAAUCACAAAAGUUAAUCCAAAAGACUUCCCUUCAGCUGCUGGAAAUCAGUCAUCACAUCUGUGAAAAGAGUGCUAGUUAUAACAAAUGAGAUCACAAAUUUGACCAUUUUAUUAGACACCCUCUAUUAGUGUUAACAGACAAAGAUGAAGGUUAAGUUGAAAUCAAAUUGAAAUCUUCUUCCCUCUGUACAGAUUGCAAUAUCUGAUAAUACCCUCAACUUUCUUGGUGCAAAUUAAUUGCCUGGUACUCACAGUCCAGUGUUAACAGGCAAUAAUGGUGUGAUUCCAGAGGAGAGUACUAGGUGGCAGGAAAAUAAAUGAGAUUAGCAGUAUUUGACUUGGAGCCAUAGGCAUCAAUUCUGCUCCAGCUGUCGACCAGGUUCUAAAAACAAGACUCGGAGCAGCUUUUGCUCUUGCUAGUGAUGCAGGGCCAGGAGAGCCCCCACACUCUGCAUUUGCAGGUGUCCAUGAGGGGAAGCCACUCCUGCAUUUAUCCUGUGAGUGGAGAAGCUCAGAGGAAUGAGGACAUUCCAACAGGGUAUCAGAAUUCUCUUUUGUUUAUGCUAAUUGACAGCAGGAACAUCACCAUCUUGGACAAACACCACCAUUUUAAGUUCUCUUUUAUUUAAAAACUGCCUAAAUCCAGCCCCAAAACAUCAGCCUAAUGGCUAUUGUCAGCAUAAUCAGAAACAUUCCAACCCUAAGAUAAACACCCCUCUGGCCAGAAAUAUGCCGACCCCGAGACAGCCUCCCCUCCGACCAGAGACAUUCCAAACCCGCAGUAAACUUUCCUUCACAUGGAAACAUUCCAAACCUACAAAAAGCUUCCCUCUUCCUAAACCCUUAAAUAUCCUUAGUCUGCAAGAGAGAAUGCUCCUGACUGAAAUCAGCCAGAAGCCCCUCUCAGGUUUAUUCUCCAAAAUAAACCUGUCUUUGACUGUUGAGCCACUUUUUGUGUUUCUUUCCUCUUUGUUUAACCCUUACACUAAUGUUAAAUUUACAUAACAUUGAGUACUUCAUGCUUUCCAGAGAAUAAGGAGAAUGCAC